UACGUAGGGUGCGAGCGUUGUCCGGAAUUAUUGGGCGUAAAGAGCUCGUAGGCGGUCUGUCGCGUCGGUCGUGAAAACUUGGGGCUUAACCCUGAGCUUGCGGUCGAUACGGGCAUGACUGGAGUUCGGUAGGGGAGACUGGAAUUCCUGGUGUAGCGGUGAAAUGCGCAGAUAUCAGGAGGAACACCGGUGGCGAAGGCGGGUCUCUGGGACGAGACUGACGCUGAGGAGCGAAAGCGUGGGGAGCGAACAGG
Molecule: ribosomal RNA, 254 nt
Filed under: uncultured bacterium
Lineage: Bacteria
Description: partial 16S ribosomal RNA
Rfam family: Bacterial small subunit ribosomal RNA
Source: RNAcentral